AUACGGAGGGUGCAAGCGUUAUUCGGAAUCACUGGGCGUAAAGGACGCGUAGGCGGGUUGGCAAGUCAGAUGUGAAAUCCUACAGCUUAACUGUAGAACUGCAUUUGAAACUGCUAACCUAGAGUAUGGGAGGGGGAGAUGGAAUUAGUGGUGUAGGGGUAAAAUCCGUAGAUAUCACUAGGAAUACCGAAAGCGAAGGCGAUCUCCUGGAACAUAACUGACGCUAAGGCGUGAAAGCGUGGGAGCAAACAGGAUUAGAAACCCUAGUAGUCC
Molecule: ribosomal RNA, 273 nt
Filed under: uncultured bacterium
Lineage: Bacteria
Description: partial 16S ribosomal RNA
Rfam family: Bacterial small subunit ribosomal RNA
Source: RNAcentral